This 403-nucleotide ribosomal RNA is filed under the name uncultured bacterium. RNAcentral's name for it is "bacterial SSU rRNA". It matches the Rfam family "Bacterial small subunit ribosomal RNA", at positions 355 to 774 of the family's 1533-position model. The record is from RNAcentral.
UGGGGAAUAUUGCACAAUGGGGGAAACCCUGAUGCAGCGACGCCGCGUGAGCGAAGAAGUAUUUCGGUAUGUAAAGCUCUAUCAGCAGGGAAGAAGAAUGACGGUACCUGACUAAGAAGCUCCGGCUAAAUACGUGCCAGCAGCCGCGGUAAUACGUAUGGAGCAAGCGUUAUCCGGAUUUACUGGGUGUAAAGGGAGCGUAGGCGGUGCUAUAAGUCUGAUGUGAAAGCCCGGGGCUCAACCGCGGGACUGCAUUGGAAACUGUAGGACUGGAGUGUCGGAGGGGUAAGUGGAAUUCCUAGUGUAGCGGUGAAAUGCGUAGAUAUUAGGAGGAACACCGGUGGCGAAGGCGGCUUACUGGACGACAACUGACGCUGAGGCUCGAAAGCGUGGGGAGCAAACA